This 1214-nucleotide ribosomal RNA is filed under the name Lycorma delicatula (spotted lanternfly). RNAcentral's name for it is "large subunit ribosomal RNA". The stretch from base 987 to 1146 matches the Rfam family "Archaeal large subunit ribosomal RNA", at positions 2544 to 2703 of the family's 2987-position model. Lineage: Eukaryota; Metazoa; Arthropoda; Insecta; Hemiptera; Fulgoridae. The record is from RNAcentral.
GAUAGGGUUUUUUUUUUUUUUUUUUUUUUUUUUUUUUAAAAAAAUUUUUUUUGUGUCUUUCUUUUUUUUUAUUUGAUUUUUUUUAAUUUAGUUAAUUGCACCGUGUUGGAUAAAUAAAUUUUAUUUUAGAAUAAUAAUUUUUUUUAGUCCCCUUUGUAUCAGGGUUAAUUAAUUUUUUAAAUUUAUUUUUUUUUCCCGAAUAGUGAAGAUCUAUCUUAAUCUGUAUUUUAUUGGGGAAUAAUUAUUUAUAAGUUUGGGAUUGUUUUGACCUGAAAUUCAUUUCUUUUUAUAUCUGGUUAUCUGGUAAAUUGAUUCAAUCGAGAAUUUCUUUUUGUUAAUUUUAUUUUUUUUUUUCAUUUUGAAAUUUUAUAUUAAGGUGGAUAAGCUCUUUUUUAUGUAUAUAAUUUAUUUUUUUUCUUUUUCUUGUUGGAUUAGAAUCUUUCAUCAUUUAAAGUUCGUUGUAGAUUAAAAUAUUCUUUUUUUUUAUAUUUAUUUUUUUACUGGAUUUAAAUUAAUUUUUUUAUUUUUAAUUAUGAUUAAAUUAGUAGAUUUAAAAAUUUCAUUUAUGAAUUAGGCAAGAAAUAAUUUCGCCUGUUUAUCAAAAACAUGUCCUUUUGUAAUUUAUUUAAGGUUGACCUGCUUCAAUGAUUUAAAUAGCCGCAGUAUUUUGACUGUGCUAAGGUAGCAUAAUAAUUAGUCUUUUAAUUGAGGUUUGGAAUGAAUGGUUUGACGAAAAUUAUACUUUAUUUUUGUAAUUUAAUUUGAAUUUUAUUUUUAAGUUAAAAAGCUUGAAUUUUGAAGAGGGACGAUAAGACCCUAUAGAUCUUUAUUUUAUUUUUGAUUUUUUUUUUUUAGUUUAUUUUUAAAAUUUUUAUGAAUUAAAUUUUGUUGGGGUGACAAAUAAAAUUUUAAUCUUUAUUUUUUUUUUACAUUUUUUUAUGUCUGUUUGAUCCUUUAUUUUGAUUAAAAGAUUAAGAUACCUUAGGGAUAACAGCGUUAUAAAUCUGGAGAGUUCUUAUUGAUAGAUGUGUUUAGCGACCUCGAUGUUAUGAUUAAAAGUUUCUGUGGGGUAGGUUUUACAGUUUUAGGUCUGUUCGACCUUUAAAAUUUUACAUGAUCUGAGUUCAAGCCGGCGUGAGCCAGGUUGGUUUCUAUCUUCUUUAAAUUUAUUCUGAUUGGUAGGAAAGGAUUUUUGGUAAUAUAAUAAUUUAUUU